RNAcentral lists this ribosomal RNA (503 nucleotides) under uncultured bacterium. Its description in RNAcentral is "partial 16S ribosomal RNA". It matches the Rfam family "Bacterial small subunit ribosomal RNA", at positions 30 to 523 of the family's 1533-position model. The record is from RNAcentral.
AUUGAACGCUGGCGGCAGGCUAAACACAUGCAAGUCGAGCGGGAUGAUGGUGCUUGCACUAUCACUUAGCGGCGGACGGGUGAGUAAUGCUUAGGAAUCUGCCUAUUAGUGGGGGACAACAUCUCGAAAGGGAUGCUAAUACCGCAUACGUCCUACGGGAGAAAGCAGGGGAUCACUUGUGACCUUGCGCUAAUAGAUGAGCCUAAGUCGGAUUAGCUAGUUGGUGGGGUAAAGGCCUACCAAGGCGACGAUCUGUAGCGGGUCUGAGAGGAUGAUCCGCCACACUGGGACUGAGACACGGCCCAGACUCCUACGGGAGGCAGCAGUGGGGAAUAUUGGACAAUGGGGGGAACCCUGAUCCAGCCAUGCCGCGUGUGUGAAGAAGGCCUUAUGGUUGUAAAGCACUUUAAGCGAGGAGGAGGCUCUUUUGGUUAAUACCCAAGAUGAGUGGACGUUACUCGCAGAAUAAGCACCGGCUAACUCUGUGCCAGCAGCCGCAGUAA